CCUCGACUCUCUUCCUUCCCUUAGACCCUAUAUUGAAGUGCGUAAUAUGCACUAGAGUCUAAUACUCAACUGGAAGAAAACAAAAUAGUAAGAUCAAAUUUGAGCAACUCGAUAUAUCUUCUAAAGGUAUGUCUAUAUUUUUUUAGGCUUUCUAAGUAUGUACUUCUGAACUUUUCAAGAUCCCUUUAGUUACCAACAUAUUGACCAAUUCAGUUAAGGUGCUACAAUAUUUAUUUAUAUAAUAGUUUUACAAAGUAUCCAUAUGAAUCAGAAGUUGCA
RNAcentral lists this long non-coding RNA (279 nucleotides) under Elaeis guineensis (African oil palm). RNAcentral describes it as "long non-coding RNA (EGUI_LNC036593)". Lineage: Eukaryota; Viridiplantae; Streptophyta; Magnoliopsida; Arecales; Arecaceae. The record is from RNAcentral.